CCUACGGGAGGCAGCAGUCGAGAAUCAUUCACAAUGGGGGAAACCCUGAUGGUGCGACGCCGCGUGGGGGAAUGAAGGUCUUCGGAUUGUAAACCCCUGUCAUGUGGGAGCAAAUUAAAAAGAUAGUACCACAAGAGGAAGAGACGGCUAACUCUGUGCCAGCAGCCGCGGUAAUACAGAGGUCUCAAGAGUUGUUCGGAAUCACUGGGCGUAAAGCGUGCGUAGGCUGUUUCGUAAGUCGUGUGUGAAAGGCGGGGGCUCAACCCGCGGACGGCACAUGAUACUGCGAGACUAGAGUAUAGGAGGGGGAAGCGGAAUUCGCGGUGUAGCAGUGAAAUGCGUAGAUAUCGAGAGGAACACUCGUGGCGAAGGCGGGUUCCUGGACAUUAACUGACGCUGAGGCACGAAGGCCAGGGGAGCGAAAGGGAUUAGAUACCCUGGUAGUC
Molecule: ribosomal RNA, 446 nt
Filed under: uncultured bacterium
Lineage: Bacteria
Description: partial 16S ribosomal RNA
Rfam family: Bacterial small subunit ribosomal RNA
Source: RNAcentral